Molecule: ribosomal RNA, 52 nt
Filed under: Cloacina dirce
Lineage: Eukaryota; Metazoa; Nematoda; Chromadorea; Rhabditida; Strongylidae
Description: partial 18S ribosomal RNA
Source: RNAcentral
GACCGGGUAAAGUCGUAACAAGGUAUCUGUAGGUGAACCUGCAGAUGGAUCA